UGCCAGUAUCAUGUAAACUACGGAUUGCAGUGCUUUUUAGCGGACUCAGAUAAGAACGAGUGAAGCAGUGCAGCUGCACAGCGGCUAAUGCAUGGAACAACAGCCAAAAUGCUGUUGGCAAAGCGGGCCAAAGUUCUGCGGAACCUCACAACAAUAGUUUCUUUUUCAGCGACCUGUUGGAUCAGCGUGAUGUGUCAUGAUCUCGUGAGACUUAGCAGACCCAAAUGCUGAAAACCCGGAAGAAAACUCAAAGAAUCGUCUGGCGCGGCAGGCUGGAGGGUAUUGAGGCAGAAACCAGUGAGCUUGGAUGAAGCUGGAUCCCAGGAACAGACGAGGAGCAUGAACAGCAGACUGCGACCAGAGGAGCACCCGUGGAGGUUUUUUCCGUAGAGGAACAACGAACUGGCGUCGAAUGAUGAUCCGAGGGCUCCUUAAGAAUGCUGCAGGUUGAUGAGGUGAGUGGAACCAGCUGGUCGCGAUCAGGGCAGAGAGGGGAGGGGGAAGGUA
This is a non-coding RNA of Oryzias latipes (Japanese medaka), 507 nucleotides long. Lineage: Eukaryota; Metazoa; Chordata; Actinopteri; Beloniformes; Adrianichthyidae. The record is from RefSeq and is a predicted model, not a curated record.